This is a non-coding RNA of Suillus paluster, 83 nucleotides long. The record is from the annotation of a RefSeq genome assembly. NCBI's taxonomy places the organism in Eukaryota, Fungi, Basidiomycota, Agaricomycetes, Boletales, Suillaceae.
UCUCUGGUAGUAUAUCGGAUAGUACACCCGCCUGUCACAUCAAAAGUGCGCGGGAGAGCGGGGUUCGAUUCCCCGCCAGAGAG